GAUGAAGAACGCAGCGAACGUGCGAAACGUAAUGUGAAUUGCAGAAUUCAGUGAAUCAUCGAAUCUUUGAACGCACAUUGCGCCCGGUAGUAUUCUGCCGGGCAUGCCUGUUCGAGCGUCAUUUCAACCAUCAAGCCCCAGCGCUUGUGUUGGGGGCCUGCGGCUGCCGCAGCCUCCUAAAAGCAGUGGCGGGCUCGCUAUCACACCGAGUGCAGUAAUUUUAUCUUCUCUCCGGUCUUGUGAGGCGGGUUCCGGCCGUGAAACACCCCACUACAUUCAAGGUUGACCUCGGAUCAGGUAGGAAUACCCGCUGAACUUAAGCAUAUCAAUAAGCGGAGGA
This 340-nucleotide unclassified non-coding RNA is filed under the name soil metagenome. RNAcentral describes it as "partial contains 5.8S ribosomal RNA, internal transcribed spacer 2, and large subunit ribosomal RNA". The stretch from base 1 to 121 matches the Rfam family "5.8S ribosomal RNA", at positions 35 to 154 of the family's 154-position model. The record is from RNAcentral.